RNAcentral lists this non-coding RNA (29 nucleotides) under Mus musculus (house mouse). Lineage: Eukaryota; Metazoa; Chordata; Mammalia; Rodentia; Muridae. The record is from RNAcentral.
UGGGCAAAUUGCUUGCGUCUGCCUGCUGC